CCUACGGGAGGCAGCAGUGAGGAAUAUUGGUCAAUGGACGAGAGUCUGAACCAGCCAAGUAGCGUGAAGGAUGACUGCUCUAUGGGUUGUAAACUUCUUUUAUAUGGGAAUAAAAUGUUCCACGUGUGGGAUUUUGUAUGUACCAUAUGAAUAAGGAUCGGCUAACUCCGUGCCAGCAGCCGCGGUAAUACGGAGGAUCCGAGCGUUAUCCGGAUUUAUUGGGUUUAAAGGGUGCGUAGGUGGAUUGUUAAGUCAGUUGUGAAAGUUUGCGGCUCAACCGUAAAAUUGCAGUUGAAACUGGCAGUCUUGAGUACGGUAGAGGUUGGCGGAAUUCGUGGUGUAGCGGUGAAAUGCUUAGAUAUCACGAAGAACUCCGAUUGCGAAGGCAGUUCACUGGACUGCAACUGACACUGAGGCUCGAAAGUGUGGGUAUCAAACAGGAUUAGAUACCCGGGUAGUC
This 460-nucleotide ribosomal RNA is filed under the name uncultured bacterium. RNAcentral describes it as "partial 16S ribosomal RNA". It matches the Rfam family "Bacterial small subunit ribosomal RNA", at positions 338 to 795 of the family's 1533-position model. The record is from RNAcentral.